Molecule: long non-coding RNA, 693 nt
Organism: Medicago truncatula (barrel medic)
Lineage: Eukaryota; Viridiplantae; Streptophyta; Magnoliopsida; Fabales; Fabaceae
Exons: 2
Source: RefSeq, a predicted model, not a curated record
UAGAGUUCUAAGAUAAAAUCUAAAAGAAAAAUGGGAAAACAUAUUCUCAAAUAUCUUUUCUUGGCACUUUUGUUCAUUCCGUUGGUUCUAGCAUCGGGACUCUGCUAUCAUGGGGAUUGUAGUGAUCCUACUAGAUGCAAAGAAUUUUGCGCUUAUAUCGGGUCUAAAAAAGCAAAUUGUUCUGACAAUGAAUGUUGCUGUGAUUAGUGCUGCUGUUGAAACAAAUUACAUUAUAAUAUCCUUAAAAAUAUUACAUUAUUAUAAAUAUUUAUAUAUGUUUUACUAAAGAUUGAUACCUGGUUCACAACAAAAAGAAUAAACAAUCUCAUAAAUAAAGAUCCAUUAUACUAAAUAAGAAACAUCUUCCUCCAAAGGUUGUAAUUUCAUGUUUGAAGAUAUUAUGAUGUCCAAUGUCAGCAAAAGAAAAAAUGGAGAACUGGAAGUAGGGGCCAGAUAAAGAAAGCAAGAUGUCUCCAAAUCCUCGAUGUGAAAGAGGAAAAAAACUCAAUGUAGCAUAGGAUUAUGCAUUCAAGAAUUGGGGUGAAAGUUGUUUUGAUUUAAAUAAUGGUGGGAGGGUGCCCCAAACUUAAGUUGUAUCCAAUUAAAUACAUCCAUUUAUAUUCUCUUACUAUUAAUGUUAUUAUAGUUGUCUUGAAAUAUUUAUCUUAAUAUAUAAUACUAAGGUUCAUAAUG